GUGCCUUUUCGACUACAAUUUCAUAUUCAUUUGGGCUUUCUUUGAUUAGACUUUGUUUUGGAUCCCUACCCUUUUUAUUUUCUUCUUGUUGAUUUAGACUCAUUUCUGUUAUCGUUUUGUAAUUUCUUCAUUUGGGUAUCUCAUAUUGCGUGGCUUACCCUUUUUUUGCUGUUUGUGUUGCCCUAUCUUUUGAUUUUUUUUCCCAAUUUAUUUCGGCUUAUCUCAUCUAUUGGAUUGUCUUCAACUUUUAUUUUUGAUGCUUUUUUUUCUUUUUUUGGUUUUUGUUAGUAUUCUUGAUUUAGGUUCAUUGGGUAUCCUCAUUGUUGGCUUUUUUUCUUAUUUUGUUAAAUUACUUCUUGUAUUUGACUCUUAACUGUUGUAAUAUUUUCUUUGUAAUGGGUUGCAUAUGCUGUCGUACUUGUUAGGAUGUCAUAUCUUUCCUAAUUGGCUUCUAAGUCUAAUUCCUAAUUAGUUUGUAGUGUAUUCACUGUAGUACUUGUGAAUUCUACUAGCUAAUAUAUUUGUACACUGUUUGCAUGAGAUGAGAUAGAACUUCAUUCUCUUCUUAACAAGAAUAUGCACAUGCAUGUAGAAGGCUAUUUUCAGGCUUAUUGUUAUGUUAUUAUAUGAUAUAAUGAGUGUUCUUCUAAAGGAUAAUGUUUAGUUUAACCAAAUAAUGAAAGUGACAUGAGCAAUUGCUUGGUAGUCUUCAUGGCAAAGAGUUAGGAAAUCUGAAGAGUCUCAGAAGUUGAGAUGUAGCCAUUUAGGAAGGCUCACAAUAUGUGACAAGACUGCAACUUUUGAAGCCUGGUCUGCUUUACCAUUCAUUAACAUUCAAAUUUUAAAUCUCAGAUCUUUCAAAUCUCUAAGAAAGCCUGUUUUUAUCUUACUUUCUCUGUUAGUUUGGGACUCUUUUCAGAGGGAGCAAGACUCAGGGAGGAUACAGUGCUCUUAAAAGCACCGGUUCUGAAAUAUUGGCUAAGAAUUAUAUGAAAUCCUUCUCUGGUAGAAUGCCAAUUGUGGGACAUAUCUAUAAAGAUUCAGACAAGGACCAGAUUUCACUUCUAACCUAGCUUUUGUGAACAUAAUACAAAUACGCUACAAAUACCCUUUUGGCUUGGUUAGGAAUCAUAAUUAACUCCUUGCCUAGAAGGUUUAAGAAUACAAUCUAGGCCAAAGGCCCAUUUUUUCCUUUCAACUUAUGGCCAAUAGAUAUGUUAGCUCCUGAGAAAAAUUUACUGUCAGGCAGGUCCUUCACUUUUCGAGUCAAAUUAAACCUGCACAUUUAAAUUUUUACCCAAUUUUGAUAACUUUCUAUCGUGUGAUGAAACAGACAUUUUCUUCUUGUCAUUCGCCUACGUCUUCUCAUCCUCAAUAGCAGAACAACAGUAGCUUAGCCUGGUUCAGCAACUGAAUACCAAUGAUGGCAGAAAGGGCUGUUGCUGGAGUGAAGGAGCACUCAGAAGGGUCCUCAAAUCAAUUACUUCUUAUUUCCUUGUCUCUUAGCCCGACAUUUGCCACCACCAUUAGAAUUAGAUCCAUUU
RNAcentral lists this unclassified non-coding RNA (1544 nucleotides) under Hevea brasiliensis (rubber tree). The record is from RNAcentral. Lineage: Eukaryota; Viridiplantae; Streptophyta; Magnoliopsida; Malpighiales; Euphorbiaceae.